Molecule: unclassified non-coding RNA, 348 nt
Filed under: Mauria thaumatophylla
Lineage: Eukaryota; Viridiplantae; Streptophyta; Magnoliopsida; Sapindales; Anacardiaceae
Description: partial external transcribed spacer
Source: RNAcentral
UGUGUUGCUUACCUAUCGAAAGGUAUUGGAUCGUAUUAUUGCCCAUUUCCGCCCGAUGCCCUCUGUGGGUGUGGGGUGGACGCCAGGCAUGCUACGUGUUCCUUGCAUGCCCUGCCUUGUUGCGGGGCUGUUGAGGCGCACGGAGUUGUUGCUCGUUCUUUCGGAUGCGGAAUGUCAUGCAUGGGUGCGGGGUCUCGGCCUCGUCUUGCCCAAGCUAUGCAUUUGUCCAUUGACACGAACGACUGCUGUGGCCGUCUUGAUCCCGUUGUAGCCUAUGUGCUCGAUGGGGUUCAUGCGGUCGUCGGCGUCGUCGAGGAAUGCUACCUGGUUGAUCCUGCCAGUAGUCAU